Molecule: ribosomal RNA, 238 nt
Filed under: uncultured bacterium
Lineage: Bacteria
Description: partial 16S ribosomal RNA
Rfam family: Bacterial small subunit ribosomal RNA
Source: RNAcentral
CGGCGGACGGGUGAGUAACGCGUGGGUAACCUGCCUCAUACAGGGGGAUAACAGUUGGAAACGGCUGCUAAUACCGUAUAAGCGCACAGUACCACAUGGUACGGUGUGAAAAACUCCGGUGGUAUGAGAUGGACCCGCGUCUGAUUAGGUAGUUGGUGGGGUAACGGCCUACCAAGCCGACGAUCAGUAGCCGACCUGAGAGGGUGACCGGCCACAUUGGGACUGAGACACGGCCCAA